Molecule: non-coding RNA, 25 nt
Filed under: Drosophila melanogaster (fruit fly)
Lineage: Eukaryota; Metazoa; Arthropoda; Insecta; Diptera; Drosophilidae
Source: RNAcentral
GAAAUUUAAAAACGAGUCGCUUAGG